AUGGUGCGGCCGCGCUGCCGCCUGCACGUUUCCCGUAGCUUCGACCCUGAUGCGCCCACGCUACCGCUUGCUCAUCUCCAUCCACUACAGUGCUGCAGUGAGUACUCCAGUGGUCAAGAUGGAUGUUCAUCACAACCAUUUACCACCAUGUGGAACCAGAAGUUCAGUCAGUGGUUCAAAAGAGAAGGAGUAGAUUCAGAUGUCGUGUUCAAAUUCGAGAUAGACUCCUCUGCACACAGACUAAUGGGGUGGCUGUCCUUUCAGAAGAAGGGGAUAAUAAUUGGUAAUACAAUAGAAUAUUAUGCCAUAUUGACAGAGAUAGUCGAGCUGCAAUAUUUAGAUGGAAGGCGUGUGACAUUAUUCCGUUGCAACUAG
This 375-nucleotide ribosomal RNA is filed under the name Triticum aestivum (bread wheat). RNAcentral's name for it is "partial small subunit ribosomal RNA". The record is from RNAcentral. Lineage: Eukaryota; Viridiplantae; Streptophyta; Magnoliopsida; Poales; Poaceae.